Molecule: ribosomal RNA, 438 nt
Filed under: uncultured bacterium
Lineage: Bacteria
Description: partial 16S ribosomal RNA
Rfam family: Bacterial small subunit ribosomal RNA
Source: RNAcentral
CCUACGGGAGGCAGCAGUGGGGAAUAUUGCACAAUGGGGGAAACCCUGAUGCAGCGACGCCGCGUGAGUGAAGAAGUAUCUCGGUACGUAAAGCUCUAUCAGCAGGGAAGAAAAUGACGGUACCUGACUAAGAAGCCCCGGCUAACUACGUGCCAGCAGCCGCGGUACUACGUAGGGGGCAAGCGUUAUCCGGAUUUACUGGGGGUAAAGGGAGUGUAGAGGGCAGCACAAGUCUGGAGUGAAAUCCCGGGGCUUAACCCCGGAACUGCUUUGGAAACUGUGCGGCUGGAGUGCAGGAGGGGGAAGCGGAAUUCCUAGUGGAGCGGUGAAACGCGGAGAUAUUAGGAGGAACACCGGUGGCGAAGGCGGCUUAAUGGACUGUAACUGACGGUGAGGCUCGAAAGCGUGGGGAGCAAACAGGAUUAGAUACCCUUGGUC